Molecule: ribosomal RNA, 513 nt
Filed under: Limnadopsis birchii
Lineage: Eukaryota; Metazoa; Arthropoda; Branchiopoda; Diplostraca; Limnadiidae
Description: partial 12S ribosomal RNA
Rfam family: Eukaryotic small subunit ribosomal RNA
Source: RNAcentral
CGAGGCUUAAUAAGACUGAUUGCGGACGUAGUAAAUGCAAUUUCAUAGGUUUUAUUAUAAAUAAAAGUGAAAGUUUAUCUUAAUUCCAGAAACUAUUCAAAUUCACGUUAAUCUACUCAAGUAAGAUGAUAAACUAGGAUUAGAUACCCUACUAUUCUUACCUCCCGUUGCCAGGGUAGUAAAAGAAAAUCUUCAAACCCAAAGAAUUGACGGCAUCUCAUCCUUACCAGAGGAACCUGUCCCUUAAUCGAUAGUCCACGUUUUACCUCACCCUUUUUCAUAAAGUUUGUAUACCGCCGUUGCCAGAUGAUUCUUAAAAGAUAUCAUCUAAACUAAUUAUUUUAACAACUUCAGGUCAAGGUGCAGCUUAUAAAAGGGAGGAGAUGGGUUACAUUAACCAUAAGUUAUACGGAAGAAAAAUGAAAAAUUAACUAAAGGUGGAUUUGAAAGUAAAUUUAUUUCAUCUAAAUAAAUUGAAAAAAGCUCUGAGAUGUGUACACAUCGCCCGUCGCU